Molecule: long non-coding RNA, 128 nt
Organism: Lytechinus variegatus (green sea urchin)
Lineage: Eukaryota; Metazoa; Echinodermata; Echinoidea; Temnopleuroida; Toxopneustidae
Exons: 2
Source: RefSeq, a predicted model, not a curated record
CAGGUCAUAUAUGUCACCUCUGGUUUGGUUGGCUUAUAUGGCAGUGGUGUUGCAGCCAAGGUUUCUGGAUCAUCCACUGGCAUCAUUUGAAAUUCAAACCUUGUCCUUGCAUGUAGACAGGCUACUAU